CGGACGGGCGAGUAAUGUCUGGGAAACUGCCCGAUGGAGGGGGGUAACUACUGGAAACGGUAGCUAAUACCGCAUAACGUCGCAAGACCAAAGAGGGGACCUUCGGGCCUCUUGCCAUCGGAUGUGCCCAGAUGGGAUUAGCUAGUAGGUGGGGUAACGGCUCACCUAGGCGACGAUCCCUAGCUGGUCUGAGAGGAUGACCAGCCACACUGGAACUGAGACACGGUCCAG
This 231-nucleotide ribosomal RNA is filed under the name uncultured bacterium. RNAcentral describes it as "partial 16S ribosomal RNA". It matches the Rfam family "Bacterial small subunit ribosomal RNA", at positions 99 to 334 of the family's 1533-position model. The record is from RNAcentral.